UUGGAAAAGAGACGUGAUUUGGGAUACCUUUAAGAAUAGAGAUGUAGGAGAAAUUCUAUCAAUCCUGCUUUCUUGAUUAUAAGCACUAGAUAAAAUGUGCUGGAAGUUUGAACCGAAAGGAGUUUAUUUAAUAAAAAGUGUUUAUCGCAGUUUGAGAGUCAUUAUCAGUGACAUGGGUGUUGCUGCUUCACAAUUAUGG
Molecule: long non-coding RNA, 199 nt
Filed under: Manihot esculenta (cassava)
Lineage: Eukaryota; Viridiplantae; Streptophyta; Magnoliopsida; Malpighiales; Euphorbiaceae
Description: long non-coding RNA (MESC_LNC000889)
Source: RNAcentral